CCCGUCACACCAUGGGAGUGGGUUGCAAAAGAAGUAGGUAGCUUAACCUUCGGGAGGGCGCUUACCACUUUGUGAUUCAUGACUGGGGUGAAGUCGUAACAAGGUAACCGUAGGGGAACCUGCGGUUGGAUCACCUCCUUACCUUAAAGAA
RNAcentral lists this ribosomal RNA (151 nucleotides) under Klebsiella pneumoniae. RNAcentral describes it as "partial 16S ribosomal RNA". It matches the Rfam family "Bacterial small subunit ribosomal RNA", at positions 1393 to 1533 of the family's 1533-position model. The record is from RNAcentral. Lineage: Bacteria; Pseudomonadati; Pseudomonadota; Gammaproteobacteria; Enterobacterales; Enterobacteriaceae. RNAcentral also lists the same sequence under 3 other names.